Molecule: non-coding RNA, 204 nt
Organism: Oryza glaberrima (African rice)
Lineage: Eukaryota; Viridiplantae; Streptophyta; Magnoliopsida; Poales; Poaceae
Source: Rfam
AAAAAAGACAAAUACUGGUUUCCGUGCCCAACGUUUGACUGUCCGUCUUAUUUGAAAAAAUAUAAUUUUUUUUUAAAAAAAGUCACGCAUAAAAUAUUAAUCAUAUUUUAUCAUCUAACAACAAUAAAAAUACGAAUUAUAAAAAAAUUUCAUAUAAGACCAACGAUCAAAAGUUACACAAGAAAAACCAGGCUUUGACUUUUG